AUUGAACGCUGGCGGCAUGCUUUACACAUGCAAGUCGAACGGUAACAGGCCUUCGGGUGCUGACGAGUGGCGAACGGGUGAGUAAUGCAUCGGAACGUGCCCAGAGGUGGGGGAUAACGCAGCGAAAGCUGUGCUAAUACCGCAUGUGAUCUGAGGAUGAAAGCGGGGGACCAGGCAGCAAUGUUUGGCCUCGCGCCUUUGGAGCGGCCGAUGUCAGAUUAGGUAGUUGGUGGGGUAAAGGCCUACCAAGCCGACGAUCUGUAGCUGGUCUGAGAGGACGACCCGCCACACGGGGCUGGGGAACCGGCCCAAACCCCCAGGGGGGGCAGGGGGGGGGAAUUUUGGAAAAGGGGCGCAAGCCGGAUCCAGCAAGGCCGGGGGGGGGAAGAAGGCCUGCGGGUUGGAAACCGUUUUUGUACGGAAAGAAAAGGCUUUGGGUAAUACCGGGGGGUGAGGAGGGUACCGUAAGAAAAAGCACCGGCAAACUCCGU
RNAcentral lists this ribosomal RNA (491 nucleotides) under uncultured bacterium. RNAcentral describes it as "partial 16S ribosomal RNA". It matches the Rfam family "Bacterial small subunit ribosomal RNA", at positions 29 to 506 of the family's 1533-position model. The record is from RNAcentral.